AAUACCGGAUAUGACUGAUCAUCGCAUGGUGGUUGGUGGAAAGCUUUUGUGGUUUUGGAUGGACUCGCGGCCUAUCAGCUUGUUGGUGGGGUAAUGGCCUACCAAGGCGACGACGGGUAGCCGGCCUGAGAGGGUGACCGGCCACACUGGGACUGAGACACGGCCCAGACUCCUACGGGAGGCAGCAGUGGGGAAUAUUGCACAAUGGGCGCAAGCCUGAUGCAGCGACGCCGCGUGAGGGAUGACGGCCUUCGGGUUGUAAACCUCUUUCAGUAGGGAAGAAGCGAAAGUGACGGUACCUGCAGAAGAAGCGCCGGCUAACUACGUGCCAGCAGCCGCGGUAAUACGUAGGGCGCAAGCGUUAUCCGGAAUUAUUGGGCGUAAAGAGCUCGUAGGCGGUUUGUCGCGUCUGCCGUGAAAGUCCGGGGCUCAACUCCGGAUCUGCGGUGGGUACGGGCAGACUAGAGUGAUGUAGGGGAGACUGGAAUUCCUGGUGUAGCGGUGAAAUGCGCAGAUAUCAGGAGGAACACCGAUGGCGAAGGCAGGUCUCUGGGCAUUAACUGACGCUGAGGAGCGAAAGCAUGGGGAGCGAACAGGAUUAGAUACCCUGGUAGUCCAUGCCGUAAACGUUGGGCACUAGGUGUGGGGGACAUUCCACGUUUUCCGCGCCGUAGCUAACGCAUUAAGUGCCCCGCCUGGGGAGUACGGCCGCAAGGCUAAAACUCAAAGGAAUUGACGGGGGCCCGCACAAGCGGCGGAGCAUGCGGAUUAAUUCGAUGCAACGCGAAGAACCUUACCAAGGCUUGACAUGAACCGGAAAGACCUGGAAACAGGUCCCCCACUUGUGGUCGGUUUACAGGUGGUGCAUGGUUGUCGUCAGCUCGUGUCGUGAGAUGUUGGGUUAAGUCCCGCAACGAGCGCAACCCUCGUUCUAUGUUGCCAGCACGUGAUGGUGGGGACUCAUAGGAGACUGCCGGGGUCAACUCGGAGGAAGGUGGGGACGACGUCAAAUCAUCAUGCCCCUUAUGUCUUGGGCUUCACGCAUGCUACAAUGGCCGGUACAAAGGGUUGCGAUACUGUGAGGUGGAGCUAAUCCCAAAAAGCCGGUCUCAGUUCGGAUUGGGGUCUGCAACUCGACCCCAUGAAGUCGGAGUCGCUAGUAAUCGCAGAUCAGCAACGCUGCGGUGAAUACGUUCCCGGGCCUUGUACACACCGCCCGUCAAGUCACGAAAGUUGGUAACACCCGAAGCCGG
This 1253-nucleotide ribosomal RNA is filed under the name Arthrobacter sp. ZQM-109. RNAcentral's name for it is "bacterial SSU rRNA". It matches the Rfam family "Bacterial small subunit ribosomal RNA", at positions 165 to 1430 of the family's 1533-position model. The record is from RNAcentral. Lineage: Bacteria; Bacillati; Actinomycetota; Actinomycetes; Micrococcales; Micrococcaceae.